This 1527-nucleotide ribosomal RNA is filed under the name Corynebacterium pseudotuberculosis CIP 52.97. RNAcentral describes it as "bacterial SSU rRNA". It matches the Rfam family "Bacterial small subunit ribosomal RNA". The record is from RNAcentral. RNAcentral also lists the same sequence under 1 other name. Lineage: Bacteria; Bacillati; Actinomycetota; Actinomycetes; Mycobacteriales; Corynebacteriaceae.
UUUGUGGAGAGUUUGAUCCUGGCUCAGGACGAACGCUGGCGGCGUGCUUAACACAUGCAAGUCGAACGGAAAGGCCCCUUCGGGGGUGCUCGAGUGGCGAACGGGUGAGUAACACGUGGGUGAUCUGCCUCGCACUCUGGGAUAAGCCUGGGAAACUGGGUCUAAUACUGGAUAGGACCGCGCUUUAGUGUGUGUGGUGGAAAGUUUUUUCGGUACGAGAUGAGCCCGCGGCCUAUCAGCUUGUUGGUGGGGUAAUGGCCUACCAAGGCGUCGACGGGUAGCCGGCCUGAGAGGGUGGACGGCCACAUUGGGACUGAGAUACGGCCCAGACUCCUACGGGAGGCAGCAGUGGGGAAUAUUGCACAAUGGGCGCAAGCCUGAUGCAGCGACGCCGCGUGAGGGAUGACGGCCUUCGGGUUGUAAACCUCUUUCGACAGGGACGAAGCUUUUGUGACGGUACCUGUAUAAGAAGCACCGGCUAACUACGUGCCAGCAGCCGCGGUAAUACGUAGGGUGCGAGCGUUGUCCGGAAUUACUGGGCGUAAAGAGCUCGUAGGUGGUUUGUCGCGUCGUCUGUGAAAUUCCGGGGCUUAACUCCGGGCGUGCAGGCGAUACGGGCAUAACUUGAGUGCUGUAGGGGAGACUGGAAUUCCUGGUGUAGCGGUGGAAUGCGCAGAUAUCAGGAGGAACACCGAUGGCGAAGGCAGGUCUCUGGGCAGUAACUGACGCUGAGGAGCGAAAGCAUGGGGAGCGAACAGGAUUAGAUACCCUGGUAGUCCAUGCCGUAAACGGUGGGCGCUAGGUGUGAGGGUCUUCCACGACUUUCGUGCCGUAGCUAACGCAUUAAGCGCCCCGCCUGGGGAGUACGGCCGCAAGGCUAAAACUCAAAGGAAUUGACGGGGGCCCGCACAAGCGGCGGAGCAUGUGGAUUAAUUCGAUGCAACGCGAAGAACCUUACCUGGGCUUGACAUAUACAAGAUCGGCGUAGAGAUACGUUUUCCCUUGUGGUUUGUAUACAGGUGGUGCAUGGUUGUCGUCAGCUCGUGUCGUGAGAUGUUGGGUUAAGUCCCGCAACGAGCGCAACCCUUGUCUUAUGUUGCCAGCACGUGAUGGUGGGGACUCAUGAGAGACUGCCGGGGUUAACUCGGAGGAAGGUGGGGAUGACGUCAAAUCAUCAUGCCCCUUAUGUCCAGGGCUUCACACAUGCUACAAUGGUCGGUACAACGCGUUGCGAGCCUGUGAGGGUGAGCGAAUCGCUGAAAGCCGGCCUCAGUUCGGAUUGGGGUCUGCAACUCGACCCCAUGAAGUCGGAGUCGCUAGUAAUCGCAGAUCAGCAACGCUGCGGUGAAUACGUUCCCGGGCCUUGUACACACCGCCCGUCACGUCAUGAAAGUUGGUAACACCCGAAGCCCAUGGCCCAACCAGUUUCUGGGGGGAGUGGUCGAAGGUGGGAUCGGCGAUUGGGACGAAGUCGUAACAAGGUAGCCGUACCGGAAGGUGCGGCUGGAUCACCUCCUUUCUAAGGAG